UCUCAGCAAUAUAACAGAAUUUCCCUCUUUUGCUACUUUCUCUCUCUAUUUCUCCCUCUCUCCCAAUUCUCCCUGCUCGUCUGUGCACUCUUCAUCCCCAAUCUUCCUAUCUCCCCCAAAUCUUCCUCAAUUCCGGAAUUAAUUCUCAAUUUUAGACAGAAAUGGAUCCAGAGGCCUGACAGGGGAUUGGGUUUAUAUGAGCUGGGGAAACAUUGGUGUCUUGGACCCGCCAACUGGCUAACUGACUCGGUAAUUGCAAUUCAUUAUUAUGAACUGUAGAUUUUUGCUGUACCAAUUUUGUACUUUUAAGUAAUUCUUCGUACUAUUAUACAACAAUGUCCAAAACACCGUUUCAACUACUUAAUUCAUAGUUAUAUAAAAAAUGGGAUGAUCAGAUACCUAAUAAAUUAAGUUUGUCCAAUUCAAACUGAUUCGUGUAAUUCUUAUUAUAUUUGGCGUAGGUUGUAUAGUUUGAUAUAAUCAUCAACUUUUGUAUAGAUUGAUAAAUUCGGAUUUACAUUCAAACUGUAAUUGUAUGAAUUUACAACAAAAGUUACAAAAAUAAAAAGAAUCGAUUUGAAUUGAAUAGAAAUCAACUUGCGAGAUUCUUGAUCCAAAAUUAGGAAGCUGCCUAUCAUUUGUAAUGACUUGUUGAUUCUUUUGUUAAAAUGUACACACUCCUAACUUCCUUAGGGGGAAAAAAAAAAAAAGAAAGAACGUUUCACCCUCUUCUGUUUCCUUAGAAACCUUUGGAAGUGAUAUAUAUAUAUAUAUAUAUAUAUAUAUUUUAAUGGUGUUUCCCAAUGAAAACUUAACCGUCAAUAUACAAAAGUUAGGCAUAUCUAAAUUCAACACUAUGUAUCAGGAAUUUAGCGAGAAAAAUCAUGCUAGGCCUAAAAAAUGGUAAGCUUUAGGUACUGUAACGCCCUAGCCUCAAGAGCUAACCUAAGGAACUUUUGAGUUGAAACCACAAAUUUAAAAUGAUUAAUUUAAAUCCUGGCCAAAGAACUUUUGAGCUAAAACUAUGGAUUCAAAAUAAUUAACUCAAGUUAUUAAGUAGUCCAUGGAUCUAGAAAUAACAUAUUGGCCAAGACUCAACCCAGGCAAAAACCAUGCAAAAUCUGUUAGCAUUUAAACUGAAAUCGCGGGUCAAAACAAUUAAACCAAAUUGCUAAAUAACCCAUGGGUCUAGAGUCAUGUAUCAAUCCAAUCCUUUCCUUUCUUUUUGAUGUUGGACGGGUCCUCAGAGUUAAGACAGAAAUAAUUUGAUUAAAUUUUUAACAUUGGUAUAUAAUUGAAGGCAACAUGUGACAUAAUCGAAUACCUGCAAUCCUUUUGCUUUGAAUAAUAAAUAUGAUAAGUCUUUUUCAGAAAAAUAAAAUACUACUCCAUGAUAAGUUGCACAACCUUAAUUAGAACUGAACAUACUCCUUUGCUAGUUUGGCUGGCAUUCAUAUUUAUUUGAUAAGCUCAAGGACCCAAAUGCACUGUAUCUUAAUGAAAAUUAAAGUUUCACUUUACAAUAGAGUUGGACAUUGAGAAACAGCAAUAAAGAUAUACACACUGAGGUACUGCGUCAACAAACAAUCCCAAAUUAUAUGCUGUUGUUCAACAUACAGGAUUCAUCAAAAUCCCCCAAACAUUUGAAUGUGGUCUCAGGUCACGGAAAUACUUUGGUUGCUGUCCCUGCAGCAUAACAGACAUGAGCUCAAGAAAUAGAUUGGCAGUCAUUUGCUGAAUCAAGAAAAAAGGAAAAUAGUAGAACGUGUAAGAAUUAGCUUAGCAAGCCAUUAUUAAAUGCCAAACCCAAAAUCCUGUUAUGAGUCAUUCAUAGAGGUGCAGGUCAGAGCUGUUAGAUUUUAUUGGCCCGAAGUUUGAUUACAUAACAACAGAGAACAAAAGUAUUUAUUCCGUUCCUAGUCAAUUUGUAAUUUUUCUUUUAAAAUACAUGCGCAUGUCUGUUCUAGCAAAAAGAUGUAAAUUUUCAGAGUCUACUACUUUUAACUACUAAAACAAUCCCUGGUGCAUUGAAGUCUUUCAGACAAUGUAAUGAAUCUUUUUAUUUAAAAAAGGAAAAUGUCUAUCAAUACUUUAAUCUGUCUUUCAAGUUACAGCUUGAAACAAAAACAGAGAAGAUGCACCUCAAAGGAGAGAAUACUGGAAUCAAUAAUCAGCAGACAUCUGGAAUCAAUAAUGAGGCAGUUUGAGAAAACUGCUCUUCUUUUUUGUGACGAUGGAUGAGUUGCCUUGAUUCUGACCCUUUAAAAAACAAAAAGAAUGACUGAUAAGGAGGAGGACGAAAGAAUCUACGGAAAAGAAAAUGUAAAGAGCAAUUGAAGGAUAUGGCCAUUUAAAAGGAAGCAGUAGCGUUUUUUAUUUCCUUUUUCCUUCCGGGGAUUAUAUAUAAGAAAAAAAAAAAGCACUACUAAUAGAAUUCUAAACAAACCGAAUAAGUAGAGAUUAAAACAGAACAUUGGAAAUAAUUAUUAACUACUUACAGUUACAGUGGGGUUUGUUUCCCUAAUGCGAAACCAGUCAAACUUUGUUGAAAUCGAUAACAACAAGGGGAAUAUGUGCAAUCUUGGGCCACUCUGCG
This 2596-nucleotide long non-coding RNA is filed under the name Coffea arabica (coffee). RNAcentral describes it as "long non-coding RNA (CARA_LNC003545)". Lineage: Eukaryota; Viridiplantae; Streptophyta; Magnoliopsida; Gentianales; Rubiaceae. The record is from RNAcentral.